Molecule: long non-coding RNA, 1524 nt
Organism: Amaranthus tricolor (Joseph's coat)
Lineage: Eukaryota; Viridiplantae; Streptophyta; Magnoliopsida; Caryophyllales; Amaranthaceae
Exons: 3
Source: RefSeq, a predicted model, not a curated record
CGUUUGCAUUCCUAUCUAUAACCCAUUUCAUUUUCCAGUUAGGGCAGUUACCAUUUCACGAAAACCCUCUUCGCCGCGUCCUUCUCUAAUUCUCUCUCUAACCUUAACCCUUUCUUCUUCAAAUCUCUUCAUCUUCAAGCCUGGAUUAUCCUGGAGAUCAUUACCUUGAUCGUGAUCAAUUAUUAUUCGCAGAGUAUUGCUAGCAGAGCUUGGGGUUACAAGGUUGUUUAUCCGCAAGGUUAUUUCUUGAGAUUUUGAGCAUGUCAAGAUUAAAACCAAAUUUGUAAUCUUAAUGAUCAUAACGGUCAAAUUCUACUACUUUUUUAACUGCUUAUGAGACAUGUUCUUGCACAUCACUAUGUAGGGAACUGAAUGUAGUUUUUAUUCUCUUAAUUUUACCGUUUUUCUGGGUUGUUUGAGUUGUAGAUUACCUUUUGAUUUUCUCAUCUAGUUUUUUUUAUCAUCGUUGAUUUUUAGUUUCAUAUUAUCUAAUUUUAUUUAGUUUUGAGUUAUUGAGCUAUAAUUGUACAAAAUUAUCCUCUAUAUUUUACGUGGAAGCGUGAAACUUGCUCUUUCUAAUUGAAAUCUGUAGGGAGUUUGUUCUUGGUGGUUUAUUUAGGAGGAAGCGAAAUGGAAGGAAAGCUAUUUCGGAGGGAAUGGAAGAGAAAUGGAUGGAGAUGAGUGUUUUUCCUCCGGAUCUUUCUGCCUUCGAAGGGAUUACAUCCUCUAAAUAUAGAACAUUUGUAAGCAAGGAAUAUUGUUCAUGAUGAACAAUACUUUGUACAUGUCAGCAAGUGCCUUUCCUUUAUCUUCUUCUCGCAUUCUCAUCUUUCCAUUUCUUCUUGACCAUUUCUCGCCAGUCGCCAUACUUGCCAUUUUGUAUAAGCGGGUCCCAUUCUCGCCAUUCUUGACAUUCUUUAACUCAGGUAAAGAUGAAAUGGUGUGCUUAGUCAUUCUCACCAUUCUCUGUCAGCAGGUGCCAGUCUCACCUUUGGUAAGAGCUGCAGUCCUUCCAUCUAUCACUUGGCCAAGGCCUCAAGAAAAAUUGAAAUCAAUUCCUUGGUACGUCACUGUUUGUUCAUUUGUUAUGUUUUUAAUCAAUUAUCUAGCCAAAAUAGGCUCAACAAAUGUGCAAGAACUUGUUAAGCUCUUUCUGUAGACGGUCUUUGCUUAAGCUUUUUCAUUAAGGCUGUUGUGAAUCAAGGGAACUUGUUACUCGUCCCAUGUUGAUUGUCAUCAUCGAUAUUUUUGUGAGAGAUUUUAAUUUCAAUUGUGGCAAUCAUUCUGGGACAUAGGAGUAGUUUGUUGACCAAAUAUGCAGGAACUAGGAACCGGGUUUUUUUGAGUAGCCAACAAUGCAUAAAAUAAAUUUAAUUCUUUUAAAAAUUAAAAUGAAAACUUUAACUUUGGUUCGGACCCAUACACUUUUUUAGAAAUUAAAAUUUUCCUAAACUUAUUUUGGGAAUUCUUUAAAAAAAUUAAGGAAAAAAUUAUCUAUAAUAAUUCAACUUUUUUAUGAUUUUC